UCUAGCACAACACUGUGACCUUACAGUUCUUUACUUAGGGAUCCAGAUCCAGAACACUUCAAAUGUUGCUAUUUAAUUCUUCACCAGAAGGUUUGGUGAUAAGUGCAAGGGAUGUUGACAUAAUUUCUGGAGAGUAAGCGAAUGAUAGGGUGCAAGGGAUAUACCUGGCUAAAAGAUUACACAGGCAUCUCUGUCCUUGAAGGAACAAAAUGAAGGAUCCAACAAAACCCAGAAGACUAACAUCUUUAGAGAACCAGUCUCCGUGCUACAAAGAAGCUUGAACCACCUCUUGAAGAGGACUGCAUAGAGAGGAACCAUUAGGUAUCAUCAGUCCUCUGCUAAUUCUUCAGGUGUGGACUUAUCUUACAGCUCUGUGAAUUUCUUCUAAGGGAUAGCACCCUGGAUGAGAAUUUAAAGAUGUUUCUCAUCUGCAAAAUGGAACUAGAAACCCCACCUCAUGGGAUAAUGGUGAAGAUGACAUGGAAUGCAGGCAGAAAUCUGGAAGUGAAGAAGCACUGGAAAAUUCAAGUAAAGAACAUCAGCUAUCAGUCCCAUAAUUUGUGAUUGAGGAUUGAGA
Panthera uncia (snow leopard) is the source of this 577-nucleotide long non-coding RNA. RefSeq lists it as uncharacterized. The transcript has 5 exons. NCBI's taxonomy places the organism in Eukaryota, Metazoa, Chordata, Mammalia, Carnivora, Felidae. The record is from RefSeq and is a predicted model, not a curated record.